Molecule: long non-coding RNA, 2276 nt
Organism: Esox lucius (northern pike)
Lineage: Eukaryota; Metazoa; Chordata; Actinopteri; Esociformes; Esocidae
Exons: 5
Source: RefSeq, a predicted model, not a curated record
CAAUGGAUACGCUAACGGGCAACGGGCGGAGCGCGCUUUGACUUAUAAUGCGUAGAGAGAUAUCGUAUCGUGUUACAUUCACCAAAGACAAGUGAAAUAACGGUUAAGGGAUAUCUUAACCUCGGAAAUAAACCACCAUUUCAGCAUGGAUAAUUCCAAACGUGAAAGCUUUGACUGCAUCUUAUAAAAAUCGACAGCCUCCGCCUGUUUCGAAGGCGAACUUGGAAUGAGGAGCACUUGAACGAUUUCUGUACAGUCACCUGUCUCUCUUCAUAGGUAAAGAAUGUGGUUUAAUUUUUCUCGUUAAAACCUAUUAGCCUUGCUUCUCAGCCUAUCGGAACCUGAACUGCUGCCUUCCACGCGGAUGCUCUAUCCUCAGUUGGAUGGCCAAAGAAUCAGCAGACAUUUCCUCGGAUUGAAAAGUGGAAAACUUGAUACUCUGGCACUUUGCGUCGUGAAGGAGUCGGUUACUAUCUUUGGUUAUCUAGCUGUAUGAGUGUUACUCGGCCAUCAUAAAGCUAGAUAACCGAAAGUAGGAAUGGCCUCCAAACCUACAACUUGAACUGUAGCAAAUGGUGUCUGGGAUCAAAAGGACGCAAGAAGAAUUGAUGCAUUUACAGGUCAAGAGCUUUGUGCCUUGCCGGGUUGAUCCAGUGCCCUUGUCACUGCAGUGGCUGCCUGAGAGACACCCAGAGACAUUCCAGAAUGAACAACAUAUGCCGUCUUACAACUAGAAGUGACUGCCAGCCAUUCACACCACAUCUGAAUGGAGCAGGAAGAAAAUGGCACAGUCGUCACAAAAAAGGAGAAAGCAGGAGAGGGAGAAAAAGGCCAAUCUCCUUCUCCCUCUUCACAUACAUUUCCAUCACCGGAAGCCUUUGGUGCCAUCUGUGCCCCCCGGAGAAAAAGACGGGCGAGACGCCUCCACCCAGUGCCAACAGGGACAAAGGAGCUGCCAGUUAAAGCGGCCCCCCUUGCAGGCAGCCAGAGGACUGUGUGUGACUGACUGGGGCUGAGCUACGGAAGCCAUCUUGAUGGAGAGUCUUGCUGCUGCUCCUAAAAUGGCUGUGUUGGCAUGAGGUUCGGAUGGUGUUGACAACCUCCAGCGAAGACUCUUCCAUCCGUCUCUCAGCCUUAGCCCUGCUAGUCAGUAAAGAUGCAUCAGAGGGGAAAGCAUAUCAGAUGCCUGGCUGUGAAUCAAAGUCUUCUUCACUGGCAUCUUCUUCAGACAGAUGCAGAAAUUAGGGCACUGAAGAAUCCCAGUGAAUUUAACAGCCAUGUUUAAGGAAGCAGCACACUGAUUAUUUGCAUGUAAAUUAUGCUGUCCGACAGACCUUUUACUAUUACAGCAAAAUAGAAAACAUUUUGAAAUCAAAAAGGGAUGUGAUCAGCGUUUGUUCGUACCUUGAUUGAAGGACAGGUGUUUAUGUUUCCCUGUGUGGGUGCCAAUGCCAUGCUUCCCAAACGGAAAGUCACAACCUUGUGUGUGGUCACCUGAAGAUGCAUCAAAUUGCGCUGGCAGACAGUUGGGAGGGGGGUGUGAGGGUAGGAUGAUAGACAGUUGGGAGGGGGGUGUGAGGGUAGGAUGAUAGACAGUUGGGAGGGGGGUGUGAGGGUAGGAUGAUAGACAGUUGGGAGGGGGGUGUGAGGGUAGGAUGAUAGACAGUUGGGAGGGGAGGGUGAGGGUAGGAUGAUAGACAGUUGGGAGGGGGGUGUGAGGGUAGGAUGAUAGACAGUUGGGAGGGGGGUGUGAGGGUAGGAUGAUAGACAGUUGGGAGGGGGGUGUGAGGGUAGGAUGAUAGUUCAGCCAAGCUGAUGCAAACGUUAAGUGAUUUUGUAGAGGGAGUAACCAAUCAAACUUCACCAAAGCUUCCGACCACUGUUGGAUUGGUGCAGCCCGACGAGGGCCACUUGUAUAGAGAUAUGGUCGUAUUAAACAGAGAGGUUUCAGUUUUUUCCAUACGAAUGUGACUCAUAGUACAUACAACCCUUUUAUUUUUACGUGGUGGGUAACAAAAAUGUUACAUCUAAAUGUCUUAACAACCCAUUGUUUGGAAUCCUCUACUCUAUGCAAUUGAAUGUGAAAGACUUACCUUCUGGCCAAAAUAUUUGUAUUGUUUAACUGUCACAGUUAAAAAUAAGACAUUGAUGUGUGAAGAGUGAGUACAUUUAUAUGAAUCAAAUUCUGUAUUUUUCUAAUUACAAGUAUUAUCUGCAUGUGUUCGUAAUGAUCAGGAAAUGUUCCAUAAUAAAUGUGUGGUUUACAGUAUCAAGUA